This 551-nucleotide ribosomal RNA is filed under the name Cutaneotrichosporon cutaneum. Its description in RNAcentral is "eukaryotic LSU rRNA". It matches the Rfam family "Eukaryotic large subunit ribosomal RNA", at positions 61 to 618 of the family's 3401-position model. The record is from RNAcentral. Lineage: Eukaryota; Fungi; Basidiomycota; Tremellomycetes; Trichosporonales; Trichosporonaceae.
GAAACUAACAAGGAUUCCCUUAGUAACGGCGAGUGAACCGGGAAGAGCUCAAAUUUGUAAUCUGGCUGUCUUCGAUAGUCCGAGUUGUAAUCUAUAGACGUGUUUUCCGUGCUGGACCGUAUCUAAGUCCCUUGGAACAGGGUAUCAAAGAGGGUGAUAAUCCCGUGCUUGAUACGACCACCAGUGCUCUGUGAUACACGCUCUACGAGUCGAGUUGUUUGGGAAUGCAGCUCAAAAUGGGUGGUAAAUUCCAUCUAAAGCUAAAUAUUGGCGAGAGACCGAUAGCGAACAAGUACCGUGAGGGAAAGAUGAAAAGCACUUUGGAAAGAGAGUUAAACAGUACGUGAAAUUGUUGAAAGGGAAACGAUUGAAGUCAGUCGUGUUCUUCAGAUUCAGCUGGUUCUUCCAGUCUACUUCUGUUGAACGGGUCAACAUCAGUUUUGUCCGGUGGAUAAAGGUAGUAGGAAUGUGACUCCUCCGGGAGUGUUAUAGCCUAUUAUUGCAUACACUGGGUGAGACUGAGGACUGCAGCUCGCCUUUUGGCCGGUCUU